AAAAAUCAAGCUAUUUCCUAAUAUAAGAAAAUCUCUAACGUAAAACUCCCUAUUUCAUAAUUAAACGAAAAAUUGGAAUAAUGAAUAAAAACAAAUAGAUUAUUUUAUUUAUGGAAUAAAUAUAUAUUUACUCUAUUACAGAGUAAAAAAUUGAGCGGGACUGAAAUAUUUUUUACUCUUGUCUCUAUUUUAGAGUAAAAAUAGAGUAAGUCUAGAGAUACUCUAAAAUGUUGAUAAUCACUAAUCACUCAAUCCAAAUAUCAAAGUAGUAUAAAAGAUGUCAAUGCAAUCCAAGUCAAUUCAAUCAAUGAGAAUGCAAAUCAAGUGCUUAGUCUAAGUGUAAUCAGUGUAGUGAUGAUAAAAAACAAGUAAACAAGAGCAAAUCAUGACAAAUAACUAAAGAUUUCAAUCAAUAAGUGGAAUAUGACCCAUGGGCAAUAAACAUUUGAUUUCAAGUGAUAAAGAUCCAAUCUAUAAUGGUAAGCACAAGUCUAAUAACUAUCUAAGCAUCUUUAACAUCAAUUCCUAUUGGCUAAGCAAGCAAAGAACAAUAUCAACUUGGCUC
This 565-nucleotide long non-coding RNA is filed under the name Brassica napus (rape). RNAcentral's name for it is "long non-coding RNA (BNAP_LNC014274)". Lineage: Eukaryota; Viridiplantae; Streptophyta; Magnoliopsida; Brassicales; Brassicaceae. The record is from RNAcentral.